UGGGGACACUUGCAGUGAAAUUGAGGA
RNAcentral lists this non-coding RNA (27 nucleotides) under Homo sapiens (human). Lineage: Eukaryota; Metazoa; Chordata; Mammalia; Primates; Hominidae. The record is from RNAcentral.